UCAGAAUUUUUUGGUUGUCACGGGGAAUGGUAUAAGUUUCGUGGUCCUGUCAGGUACGUCUUAGUAUAGGUCUAACUGUGCAACGUUCAGCCAAACGCUAUUACAACUUAUCCGCCCUUCGAGUACGCUGAAGAAAACUCUGUCCUCAGACCCAUCACCAUCAUGUUUCAAGCCAGACUCUUCAUUAUCCUCGCUGUCUCAUGCUUAGUGGUUCUCUCUCUUGUAAGCGACACCCACGCACAGGGACUUCGAUGGGGAAGAACCAUGCAAGGUGAAUCGAAUGGUAUUAUGAACGAAAGAGGGGUACCAAACGAACGGAAUUCUGGGAACUAUUGGGAAGACAUCUUUCCUCAGCGGGUUCUGAGGAAACGAUCUCUCACCAAGAAAAAUGCCGACAAUUAAGCUGAACACAAUAUACCAGGGGAUCAUCGCCAAACAGCACAGCUAAUCUAGCAGCUACAAGCCUCCAUCGUGUUAUUUCUCUUCCAGAGUAGGAGUUGUCACACAAUGUCAUAGUGUACUGGGGUUAACAUUUAGUUACCUUAACUGUAGUGCUGCGUCGUACAUAAAUAAACAAUGGAUACAGAAAUGCGAUUCAUUGAGUAGAAUGAUGAUGGAUUAGUAGGAAAAUAAAAUGGGAUAAACGAAGAA
Long non-coding RNA from Actinia tenebrosa (Australian red waratah sea anemone), 651 nucleotides. RefSeq lists it as uncharacterized. Lineage: Eukaryota; Metazoa; Cnidaria; Anthozoa; Actiniaria; Actiniidae. The record is from RefSeq and is a predicted model, not a curated record.